Molecule: non-coding RNA, 809 nt
Organism: Anas platyrhynchos (mallard)
Lineage: Eukaryota; Metazoa; Chordata; Aves; Anseriformes; Anatidae
Source: RefSeq, a predicted model, not a curated record
GGAAGAAGGGAAAAAAAAAAAAAAGAAAGAAAAAAAAAAAAAAAAGAAGAAGGUGUCGGAAGCAUCGGCAGUAAGAAAACAUGUCAACAGAAUAAAAUAUUAACCAAUGACAGAGAAAAGUGCUCGAAAUCCCACCCCCGGCUCCUUUCCGCAUACCGGGUCAGCCCUGGCUGCGCCGCGGCCGGGGAGCGGCGGCCGCCGGUGCGGGGACAGCGCGGAGCCACCGCGGCGGAGCGCGGAGCGGGACCGGGGGGGGGCCAGGGGGGACCGGGGGCCGCCCCGAAGCUUUCCGCGGCCGCGCAGCCCCGGGCGGGGGCGGAGGGGGGCGGGCGGGGGCGGCGGGUUGGGUGUGUGGGGGGGGAGGUUAGGGGGGGCCGGAGCUCGGCGGCUGCCGUCUUACGACAGAUCCUGGAAAGAGGAUCAAGGUGGGGCCCGCCCCGCUCCGCGCCCCGCCGACGGGGCGGCCCGGGCUCGGGGGCGGCCGUCGGGAGCGCGGCCCCGUCGGCGCGGCCGGGCCGUGGGAGAGCUGCAGGCGGCGAGGCCCCGAGCGGCGAGCUCCAGCGCGGCGAACCCGGAGCCUCGCCUUGCCCCACGCCGGGGGCAACUCUCCCGCGGCCCCGACGGCGACCGCGGCCACCUCCGAGGGGAACGGAGGGGCGCAGCCCACCGGGCCCUGCCGGCAGCCGCGGCCCCGCCAGGAAACGUCGCCUCUCCGCCGGCACAGGGCCUGCCGCCCCCCGCCGCCGCCCCCCGCACCGCUGUAACACCGCAAACUCCCUCGCCUGCAGAAUAAAAACCGAUGCAGAGCA